Molecule: microRNA precursor, 108 nt
Filed under: Dasypus novemcinctus (nine-banded armadillo)
Lineage: Eukaryota; Metazoa; Chordata; Mammalia; Cingulata; Dasypodidae
Description: miRNA (ENSDNOG00000027171.2)
Rfam family: mir-362 microRNA precursor family (bases 30-94)
Source: RNAcentral
GUGCCUGAGCCUUCAUGUCUGCUCCCCCUCUCAAAUCCUUGGAACCUAGGUGUGAGUGCUGUUUCAAUGCAACACACCUAUUCAAGGAUUCAAGAGGCUGAGCCUUGU